Molecule: ribosomal RNA, 276 nt
Filed under: uncultured prokaryote
Description: partial 16S ribosomal RNA
Rfam family: Bacterial small subunit ribosomal RNA
Source: RNAcentral
UACGUAGGGGCAAGCGUUAUCCGGAUUUACUGGGUGUAAAGGGAGCGUAGACGGUAUGGUAAGUCAGAUGUGAAAGGCUGGGGGCUCAACCCCGGGACUGCAUUUGAAACUAUCAAACUAGAGUGUCGGAGAGGUAAGUGGAAUUCCUAGUGUAGCGGUGAAAUGCGUAGAUACUAGGAGGAACACCAGUGGCGAAGGCGGCUUACUGGACGAUCACUGACGUUGAGGCUCGAAAGCGUGGGAGCAAACAGGAUUAGAUACCCUGGUAGUCCCUGA